Molecule: long non-coding RNA, 564 nt
Organism: Neodiprion fabricii
Lineage: Eukaryota; Metazoa; Arthropoda; Insecta; Hymenoptera; Diprionidae
Exons: 3
Source: RefSeq, a predicted model, not a curated record
CGAGAAAGUAACACGAAAGACGAAAUUAACGAUAACAGGGAACCGAGGAAAGGCACAAAUUCUGCUCGCAGUGACAGACGCAGAUCUCAAGAGAACAAGGAUCGAAAGGCGGUUGAUAAUCCGCGGGCUUCGUCGGUCGAAAAACGGAAGCACGACGAGAGCAGCGUUGGUGAAACGAAUCGCGAAGAUCGGCGAACGAUGCGCCGGCGCAUAGAAUCAAACUCGAUUGGCAAAAAUUUCGACGGCGCGAAUCGGUCUUCGAAACGGGUUUCGAGCCAAAAUCGGCGUCGUCGGGUCAACCGAAAGUCGACGAUGAAAAACGGACGAAGACGACACCGGCAGGGGAAAGAGAUCCUGGGAAUGUCCGAAGCGUCGAAGACGAUCGCGAAUCGAACUCCGAGGCGACGUACCACCAGAUCAUCCUGCGCCAUUGUCCCCCAUUACAAAUCGGGCGAGGUUUCGUUACCGGCUGUUCCGAAACGCGUUUUUAAGGCCCUGCAUAUGCUUCGUCAUGAGAAAUUCUUACGAGCCGUUUCCCGCUACAUCAAACCAGCCAAUUCACUG